UUGGGAUUUCCAUCUCAGCAAGAAUGCUACUGUUAAUUGCCAUCGCUGCUUUAAGGAUCUGAUUAGUGCAAUUGCUUUGGUGUCGUAAAUGCUUCUUUCACUUACCAGAAUGGCCGUUGGAAGGUACACAAAGAAAUGGCAGCCACAACUUUUGUUCUGUAUGCUGAGGCGGAGGAAUGAUCCUCCUGAAUGAGCCUGAACAUGUUAAAUUUCCUAACAUGCUACCUUGUUCUGCAUACCAAAACUCUGUAUCAUGAAAACUUUUAAGGACUUGUUCCUGCCACGAAGACACAAAUACAUGGAAAUAAACAAUAAGCUAGAAAAUCUCCUGGAAGCACCAAAAUUUAUUUCAAAGAGUGGAAAAAGAUCUUCCCAUAUUAGGAUAUUUAUAAAAUGAACUUGCACACAGAAUAAUCUUGUUUAGUAACACACACUAUUUGUUUGCUAACAAAAUAAUUAACACGAAAAUAUUUGUCAAUUAGGAGAGGAAUGACUUACGAUUGAAAAAGAUUUGAUCCAGCCUUCAUGCUUAGCGGAAAAUGUAUAAGAUACUGAUAAAUAUAGCUCAACUUCAUAUUUUUGUCCAAGUUAUAAAAAAUUUGCUAACAAAAUAAUUAACACGAAAAUAUUUGUCAAUUAGGAGAGGAAUGACUUACGUGACCAUAAUCUCCCAGAUUGACAACUAAAGCUCCUUCCAUAGGCUUAACCGUAAUUGAAGUUUGCCACCAUCCCGAGUGGCAUGUAAUCCACUAACCUGCUCCUGAAGCAAAAGGGUAAUUGCACCUGAGUCUGUAUGCCUUCUGCAUCCAAGUGUCAAGUCGGGUUUGGGACACGGGGAUAGUAAUUAAGUAACACUUUUUGUUCCAUAUUCACGCAAGCUUUUGUAAUAAUCUCUUUUUCAAGGACCAUGGCCUCUGAUAACUCUUCCAGUAACUUGGUACCAAGAUCCUGUAACUUUUCACAGUAUUCUUCUGUGAUGGACCUCCAUCCCUCAGGCUUAUGAGGCCGUCGGGAGUAAUCCCGACCACUAAUUGGUUACAAACUCAUGCCAGUCCAUUGCGCUGUCACCCUGUAUUGUAUUAGUUACUAUAAUAUAUUAUACUGCAUUACUAUUAUCUAAUAAUAAUUCCUGAGAAUGAUCAGUUGAUUGAAAGAUCACGAUUUUGUAGUUCGAUNCGGAAAAUAAAUCAAACUUGAAUUGUUUAAAAGGGUUGUUCGCUAACCUUAUAAAUAGAUGCCAAAUAUGUAUUUGGGAUUUCCAUCUCAGCAAGAAUGCUACUGUUAAUUGCCAUCGCUGCUUUAAGGAUCUGAUUAGUGCAAUUGCUUUGGUGUCGUAAAUGCUUCUUUCACUUACCAGAAUGGCCGUUGGAAGGUACACAAAGAAAUGGCAGCCACAACUUUUGUUCUGUAUGCUGAGGCGGAGGAAUGAUCCUCCUGAAUGAGCCUGAACAUGUCAAAUUUCCUAACAUGCUACCUUGUUCUGCAUCCAAAACUCUGUAUCAUGAAAACUUUCAAGGACUUGUUCCUGCCACGAAGACACAAAUACAUGGAAAUAAACAAUAAGCU
This 1566-nucleotide long non-coding RNA is filed under the name Daucus carota (carrot). Its description in RNAcentral is "long non-coding RNA (DCAR_LNC004373)". The record is from RNAcentral. Lineage: Eukaryota; Viridiplantae; Streptophyta; Magnoliopsida; Apiales; Apiaceae.